GGAGCUAUGACUUAAUGGUAGAACAUCUGCUUGGGACGCAGAAGGUCCUAGGUUCAAUUCCCAGCACCUCCA
RNAcentral lists this transfer RNA (72 nucleotides) under Sphaerodactylus townsendi. RNAcentral's name for it is "tRNA-Pro". It matches the Rfam family "tRNA". Rfam says of the family: Transfer RNA (tRNA) molecules are approximately 80 nucleotides in length. The record is from RNAcentral. Lineage: Eukaryota; Metazoa; Chordata; Lepidosauria; Squamata; Sphaerodactylidae.